RNAcentral lists this ribosomal RNA (67 nucleotides) under Lachnospiraceae bacterium. RNAcentral's name for it is "partial 23S ribosomal RNA". The record is from RNAcentral. Lineage: Bacteria; Bacillati; Bacillota; Clostridia; Lachnospirales; Lachnospiraceae.
GGGCGGAGGUGGAAGUGCAGUAAUGUAUGUAGCUGACCGUCACUAAUAGGUCGAGGGCAUAACCAAG